Molecule: ribosomal RNA, 253 nt
Filed under: uncultured bacterium
Lineage: Bacteria
Description: partial 16S ribosomal RNA
Rfam family: Bacterial small subunit ribosomal RNA
Source: RNAcentral
UACAGAGGUCUCAAGCGUUGUUCGGAUUCAUUGGGCGUAAAGGGUGCGUAGGCGGCGCGGUAAGUCGGGUGUGAAAUCUUGGAGCUUAACUCCGAAACUGCAUUCGAUACUGCCGUGCUUGAGGACUGGAGAGGAGACUGGAAUUUACGGUGUAGCGGUGAAAUGCGUAGAUAUCGUAAGGAAGACCAGUGGCGAAGGCGGGUCUCCGGACAGUUCCUGACGCUGAGGCACGAAGGCCAGGGGAGCAAACGGG